UUUGCUUAAACAGAUAUCUCUAUCCAAGAAGAAAUAAGCCAAAGGGGUAUUUUCCAGAAAGGACAGGGAAAAAUGGGGCUCAUGGACUCAUUCAUACAUGAAUAAGCACAAAAGUCCUUGGAACUAUACACCACAAAAAUAAAAUUCCAACUGGACAACAAAAAGAGAGAUUCUAGAGCCAUAAUCAAAGCUAGCUAGACUCAAUGGAUUUCCCUUUGAGGAGUGACUGGUAGAUAUUUCAGGAUUUCAUUAACUGUAUUGAACACCUAACAGAGAUGGUAGUCUAUUUCUUGUUUGUGGUAAAUGGUUUCAUGGGAACCAAAAGCAAUAUACACUCAUCAAAAUGCGUUGGAUUGCUUCAUAUUCCAAGCCUUGUUUAAAAAAAAAAAAAAGAAAAGAACAACAUUAUUAACCAAGGUUGACUUAACCACAACUCCCGUUGGCUUCUGUGGGAGUUUUGCCAUGGCUGAAGACCACAAAUAAGACCCAUGCUCCUGGUAAUAAAAAGGCUGCCCAGAUACUGUGGAAAAGUUGCUGAACCUCAGAGUGAAAGAAAACACUUUCCUGUCACUGGAGACGGCUCCAUGUUGACUUCCAUUAAAACGUAACCUGAGCCCAGGAUGCAGAUGAUUAGAAUGUUCUUGGAAUAAUGGACAAAGCUUAUUUUACCCAAAGAGCAAUCAUGCUCUCCAGACAGGGGUGUGUGUAGAGGGAACAGGGGUGCUGGCUCC
Molecule: long non-coding RNA, 731 nt
Filed under: Mus spretus (western wild mouse)
Lineage: Eukaryota; Metazoa; Chordata; Mammalia; Rodentia; Muridae
Description: lncRNA (ENSMSPG00010000873.1)
Source: RNAcentral